UACGUAGGGGGCGAGCGUUGUCCGGAUUUAUUGGGCGUAAAGAGCGUGUAGGCGGUUCGGUAAGUCUGCCGUGAAAACCUGGGGCUCAACCCUGGGCGUGCGGUGGAUACUGCCGGGCUAGAGGGUGGUAGAGGCGAGUGGAAUUCCCGGUGUAGCGGUGAAAUGCGCAGAUAUCGGGAGGAACACCAGUAGCGAAGGCGGCUCGCUGGGCCAUUCCUGACGCUGAGACGCGAAAGCUAGGGGAGCGAACAGG
RNAcentral lists this ribosomal RNA (253 nucleotides) under uncultured bacterium. RNAcentral describes it as "partial 16S ribosomal RNA". It matches the Rfam family "Bacterial small subunit ribosomal RNA", at positions 524 to 776 of the family's 1533-position model. The record is from RNAcentral.